UGCCGAGCUUCGGGUGAGUAGAGCGGCGGACGGGUGAGUAACGCGUGGGAAUCUACCGAGUAGUGGGGGACAACCGUUGGAAACGACGGCUAAUACCGCAUACGCCCUACGGGGGAAAGAGGGGGACCUUAUGGCCUCUUGCUAUUUGAUGAGCCCGCGUAAGAUUAGCUUGUUGGUGGGGUAACGGCCUACCAAGGCGACGAUCUUUAGCUGGUCUGAGAGGAUGAUCAGCCACACUGGGACUGAGACACGGCCCAGACUCCUACGGGAGGCAGCAGUGGGGAAUAUUGGACAAUGGGCGCAAGCCUGAUCCAGCCAUGCCGCGUGUGUGAAGAAGGCUCUAGGGUUGUAAAGCACUUUCAGUGGGGAGGAAAGGGUUAACGUUAAUAGCGUUGAUCUGUGACGUUACCCACAGAAGAAGCACCGGCUAACUCCGUGCCAGCAGCCGCGGUAAUACGGAGGGUGCGAGCGUUAAUCGGAAUUACUGGGCGUAAAGCGCGCGUAGGUGGUUAUAUAAGCUAGAUGUGAAAGCCCCGGGCUCAACCUGGGAACUGCAUUUAGAACUGUAUAGCUAGAGUACAGCAGAGGAUAGUGGAAUUUCAGGUGUAGCGGUGAAAUGCGUAGAGAUCUGAAGGAACAUCAGUGGCGA
This 649-nucleotide ribosomal RNA is filed under the name uncultured bacterium. RNAcentral describes it as "bacterial SSU rRNA". It matches the Rfam family "Bacterial small subunit ribosomal RNA", at positions 60 to 718 of the family's 1533-position model. The record is from RNAcentral.